Molecule: transfer RNA, 103 nt
Organism: Puccinia sorghi
Lineage: Eukaryota; Fungi; Basidiomycota; Pucciniomycetes; Pucciniales; Pucciniaceae
Rfam family: tRNA
About the family: Transfer RNA (tRNA) molecules are approximately 80 nucleotides in length. Their secondary structure includes four short double-helical elements and three loops (D, anti-codon, and T loops).
Source: Rfam
GCCCGUUUAGCAUAGUCGUUAUUGCGCGGCACUUGUAUCGUGUCGAGUGGAUUAGCCACUUCAUGUCAUGCCGAGGUCGCUAGUUCAAAUCUGGCAACGGGCA